AUUAAAUCGUUAUCAUACAUAUGAUAAUUAAUUAGUCCAUCUCACAUAUGUAUCUAAUUAGCCCAUUUCAAAUAAAAAACAAAUACAUAUAUUUAAUUAGCCGAUUAAUUAGCCCAUUAACGUUACAAUGACAUAAACCCUGAUUUUCUCUCUCCCAUCGCCGCUAUAUUCUUCUUCUUCCCCUUCUCUAUCUUCUUCUUCCCCUUCUCUGUAUUUUCCCCUCCUGCAUCUCCAAAUUUUCUUCACAAGUUCUUUCUCUGUAUUUUCCCCUCCUGCAUCUCCAAAUUUUCUUCACAAGUUCUUCAACCAUCUACAGCUCUCCAUAAUCAGUGUUACUGCAAAGAUGGAGUAAUACUGUUCAAAAACUCAAAAAAGGACGAUUUUGGGAUGGAUUUUUCAGUAUGGUUGGAGCUCAAUUCCACCUCAAAAAUGAGUUUUCCAGAAUGGUUGGAGAUGCCUGAGCCAAUGAUGAAUAGUCAUCUAGUAACAGUGAAAAUUGGAAAAAGGGGCGGAUGGGCUUGUCUCUGCCUUUUAAUUAGUCAUGGGCGUAUCAAACUGUAUUUUGGCAACCGAACAAGGAAUUAAAGGCAGAUUAUUAUAAAGGGA
Salvia splendens (bonfire salvia) is the source of this 606-nucleotide long non-coding RNA. RefSeq lists it as uncharacterized. NCBI's taxonomy places the organism in Eukaryota, Viridiplantae, Streptophyta, Magnoliopsida, Lamiales, Lamiaceae. The transcript is spliced from 2 exons. The record is from RefSeq and is a predicted model, not a curated record.